Molecule: ribosomal RNA, 405 nt
Filed under: uncultured bacterium
Lineage: Bacteria
Description: partial 16S ribosomal RNA
Rfam family: Bacterial small subunit ribosomal RNA
Source: RNAcentral
AUUGAACGCUGGCGGCAGGCUUAACACAUGCAAGUCGAACGAGUGGCGGACGGGUGAGUAAUGCUUGGGACUCUAGCUUAUGGAGGGGGACAACUACGGGAAACUGUAGCUAAUACCGUGUACCAUAGGAUGAGCCCACGAGGUAUGAGGUAGUUGGUGAGGUAAAGGCCCACCAAGCCGACGCUCUCUAGCUGGUCUGAGAGGAUGACCAUACCCAGUGGGACUGAGUCGCGGACAAAGCUCCGACGUAGUGCAGCAGUGGGGAAUAUUGCGCUAUGGGGGCAACCUGACGCAGCCAUGCCGCGUGUAUGAAGAAGGCCUUCUGGUUGUAAAGUUCGUUCGGUUGCGAGGCUUUAGCUACCGAAGCAGCACCGGCUGACUCCUUGCCAGCAGCCGCGGUAAUAC